This 75-nucleotide transfer RNA is filed under the name Rhizoctonia solani AG-1 IB. RNAcentral describes it as "tRNA-Asn". It matches the Rfam family "tRNA". From Rfam's summary of the family: Transfer RNA (tRNA) molecules are approximately 80 nucleotides in length. Lineage: Eukaryota; Fungi; Basidiomycota; Agaricomycetes; Cantharellales; Ceratobasidiaceae. The record is from RNAcentral.
UCUCCUAUGGCGCAAUUGGUGGCGCGUCUGACUGUUAGAAUCAGAAGGUUGUUAGUUCGAGCCUAACUGGGAGAG